AGGACUAACGCUGGCGGCGUGCCUAACACAUGCAAGUCGAGCGGGGUAGCAAUACCCAGCGGCAGACGGGUGAGUAACGCGUGGUCAACCUUCCGUUGAAUGGGGGAUAACUAGCCGAAAGGUUAGCUAAUACCGCAUACGAUCUUUUGAAGGCAUCUUUAAAAAGAUGAAAGGAGCAAUUCGUUCAACGACGGGACCGCGUCCCAUUAGCUAGAUGGUGGGGUAAUGGCCUACCAUGGCAACGAUGGGUAGCUGGUUUGAGAGAGCGACCAGCCACACUGGGACUGAGAAACGGCCCAGACUCCUACGGGAGGCAGCAGUGAGGAAUUUUCCGCAAUGGGCGAAAGCCUGACGGAGCGACGCCGCGUGUGGGAAGAAGGCCUUCGGGUCGUAAACCACUGUCGAAGGGGACGAUAAUGACGGUACCCUUGGAGGAAGCCCCGGCUAACUACGUGCCAGCAGCCGC
This 466-nucleotide ribosomal RNA is filed under the name uncultured bacterium. RNAcentral describes it as "SSU rRNA". It matches the Rfam family "Bacterial small subunit ribosomal RNA", at positions 26 to 518 of the family's 1533-position model. The record is from RNAcentral.